GUCAGUAUAGCUUAAUGGUAUAGCAUCUGUCUUGUAAACAGAAGAUUGUAGGUUCAAGUCCUACUACUGGCU
This 72-nucleotide transfer RNA is filed under the name Amoebidium parasiticum. RNAcentral describes it as "tRNA-Thr". It matches the Rfam family "tRNA". From Rfam's summary of the family: Transfer RNA (tRNA) molecules are approximately 80 nucleotides in length. Their secondary structure includes four short double-helical elements and three loops (D, anti-codon, and T loops). Further hydrogen bonds mediate the characteristic L-shaped molecular structure. tRNAs have two regions of fundamental functional importance: the anti-codon, which is responsible for specific mRNA codon recognition, and the 3' end, to which the tRNAs corresponding amino acid is attached (by aminoacyl-tRNA synthetases). tRNAs cope with the degeneracy of the genetic code in two manners: having more than one tRNA (with a specific anti-codon) for a particular amino acid; and 'wobble' base-pairing, i.e. permitting non-standard base-pairing at the 3rd anti-codon position. Lineage: Eukaryota; Ichthyosporea; Ichthyophonida; Amoebidiaceae. The record is from RNAcentral.